This 30-nucleotide non-coding RNA is filed under the name Xenopus tropicalis (tropical clawed frog). Lineage: Eukaryota; Metazoa; Chordata; Amphibia; Anura; Pipidae. RNAcentral also lists the same sequence under 4 other names. The record is from RNAcentral.
GUAUGUGCUUGGCUGAGGAGCCAAUGGGGC